Molecule: ribosomal RNA, 218 nt
Filed under: uncultured Lactobacillus sp.
Lineage: Bacteria; Bacillati; Bacillota; Bacilli; Lactobacillales; Lactobacillaceae
Description: partial 16S ribosomal RNA
Rfam family: Bacterial small subunit ribosomal RNA
Source: RNAcentral
UAACACCUGGAAACAGAUGCUAAUACCGGAUAACAAUAGAUGAUGCCUAUCAACUGUUUAAAAGAUGGUUCUGCUAUCACUCUUGGAUGGACCUGCGGUGCAUUAGCUAGUUGGUAGGGUAACGGCCUACCAAGGCGAUGAUGCAUAGCCGAGUUGAGAGACUGAUCGGCCACAUUGGGACUGAGACACGGCCCAAACUCCUACGGGAGGCAGCAGAC